UAGAGGAGACAAAAGAAAAGAGAAGACGCUCCGAGAGCUACUUUGUAGGGCUGGAGCGGGGGUAGGUCUGUGGCUCGAGAGUGACCUACAUGGCAGCAACGGCGAACUCGGGUGUGUGUCAGCGGCCCUAAAGCGGGGCGGGGGAGGAGGGGGAGGGGGUGGUUCGAGCUCUCGUGGCCGUCCUAGUGGGGCAGGAAAGGGAGGCGCGCCCUCCAAUACCGUCUCGUAGUCGGCCCCGCCGCCGCCAGAAGAGAAGCCGUGUGUCCCUCGGCUCGGCCCCGCCGCAGGGGCACGGCACAACCACCUCGGGGAGGAGGGCUACCCACCGACCACCGAGGCAACGAGCGUCGUCGGGGGUAGCGAGCGGCCUAGACCGCCGGCCGGUCGUGCACGCCCCUGAACCAACCCGGGCAACGGCCGCUCGUGUUCAGCGACGGCAGGCGGCGAAGGAGUAGAAAACAACACGGAACGCGGUGGAUCGCGAGGGGGAAGCGGGGGGACGACGAACGGUACAUCCGCGGUAUCGGUAGCGAGGGAACGGAGCGCGCAGUGGUAGCGGAGCCAGGCUGUGGAGGUUGAGGUUCGGUGGCCGGUUGCUCACUGUGUUACGGUGGGGUGGUGUGGUGGUGUUCGCGAUGACCGGGUCGCCCCGGUCACAACGAGGGGAGGCCGGAGAGAAAACUCCAGUUGGGACUCGGAGGAAACAGGGCGCCGAGGUGGAGGCAAGGGCAGGUGGUACCGGAGAGGCAGAGCUAAGCAGGCAGCGUCCUAGGUGCUACCAGAGGAGGAGGUCCCUAGGCGGUACCUCCAACGGCGGAGAGGGCAGAGCUAGGCAGACGGCGGCCUAGGUGCCGCCUCGUCGGCUCUAGGGAGUGGGCAAGGCGCUGCGGAGCCGGGCGGUUCCGGUCGCGGCUCCUGCUGUUCCGCGCGUCCUUCCGGUUCCGGGAGUGGUUCGUCGCCUUCCUGAACGCCCGAUCCGAGCGGAUGGCGUUCGCGCGGGCGAUCGAGUGCAGGUACGGCCGGUUCCGGUGGCGGCGCUGUGGUCCUUGUUGUUGCGGUACCUAGGGCUACACUUCGAGGUGACAUCGGACUAGACUGGACCCUCCCACAGCGCGACGCGAGCCCGCGGCGUAGUCCGCCGCCGCGCGCUCCACCCUCCCCUCGUGCCUCUGCCCGCUCGUCUCUGCUUCUUCCUCUUUUACCUCUCCGCCCCGCCACCGGUACCGUCCCUCCGAUGCGAGCCCCCGGUGUAGUCCGCCGCUGUUGCUUCGCCCCCCACACGUGGCUCUGCUUCCUGUGCUCUUACCUCCGCAGGCCCUCGCUCCUGAAGCUACCGCGGUAAGCGGGGAUGAGGUGUGAAGCAGUCUUGAGGUAGACAACCAAGACGUGAAUCCGGGUUCAACUCGUAUACAAUCUACCAGACCUACUGUACCUGCCGCGGCUCCUACAGGGAAAACUACUCGAGUAGUAUCCGUACGUUCCGAAUCAUAAAGUGAACCAACUCUUACGUUAAUGUUAUAUAUAAUGUAUGUUCAGACUACCUAAGUUCUCUUACUUCUCACUUCUUAUGAUAUGAUAUUUAUGCAGUUGAUAUCUAUUGGGAGGGUUGAUGUUACAACGUGGACUGUUGGAGGAUGAGCUGCUCCGGUUCGAUAGACGUCCCCUGGUACGGCGACCUGCAAGGAUUCUACACACGACGAUCUACUGGAAGAACGACGACGUUGUUGUUUACGUCGAUUGGUACAUUGACGUCGAGGACGAUUGUACGUUCGACCUCCUCGUGGCCCGUAUAAACGAUACUACUACUUGUUUAUCCGUUUACUGACGUAUUUGUUGACGACUACCUCGACACCAAGAACCUUUAGGUCAACGAGGAGGACAAUUACCCCUACACAUAUGCCUAUAGUCGGGACUCUUACAACACCAGGUCACUGUGGCUCCAAACGUAAUAAAGACAGGAUCUGAACACGUCUGGUAGAAAGAUACCUACCAGAAGACAAGUAUAAUUUACACUUGAUGGCGGAUGAUUCUACACAAAGCUUGAAUAAAAACACACACACACACACACACACACACACACACACACACACACACACACACAAACACACCCAAACACACACACGUCUUCUAUCACGUUUACACGAUUAAUAAGCUAACUUUGUAGACGACGUCUCCAACUCCAUUAAUCACGAUGAAAUCGACCAUAUUUCCGGUCUGUUCAACCUCUACUCUACCCGUAAAAUAGUAUAACGAAACGGACAUUAUUGGUUUUAACUAACUAAAUCAAAGUGUGUUGUAUCUAUUAAUACAGCAGUCCAAGUCAAAAUGAAUACUUUCAACUUGAAAAGUAUAUAACAAACUAAAGGAGAAACAUUCAAGAUCCUGAAAUCAAUUAACUUAUAGAAUUCCCGGGCGUACGGUCUCGAAAGGUCUUCCAUUCUGAACUACGUUAAGACAAGGAUGAUAAGAAUGAUGGACCUGCUGGAAGUUCGUAGUUAUUGAAUUAGGAAAAUCCAAAACAUGAAGAAAGAAGUCAUGUCCGUAUUAUAACAAACCACGAAGGGUUAUAAACCUGUAUUUUCAUCUCUUCGAAAUGUAAAGUUCUUUAUAAUCUAAUAGUUAUUCUUUUAUACCAGGUUCGGCCUGAUGAUGAAGAUUUACAAAACAAAAAGUGACUUCCCCUAUAAAAUGAAGAGGAUUAGUACCAGCGGCACAUUGGGCUACUACCAUCCUACCAUUUAUUGAUGUAGGGAAAAACCAUACCGUUUUUUUUGUAGGAUGGGUAUACUACUAAACGUUGACGUCGACUUGUUAUUACUUUCUUUUUUCUCAUGUACGAAAUUAUUACAUGGAUGUUGUUACACAACGGGGUGGUUUGUAGUGAUCUCCUGACUCUUCCUUUUGCUGCGAAGGAGUUAGUCCAAGAUAACUGGCAACAUCGUAAUCGUACUACUUCUAAGACCUUGUCACGUGCUGGACAGGUUCGGGUUCCAGAAAGGAAUCACACUUCGCGGACUCGACCACAGCUCGUUUAUAGGGGACUUAUAAUAAAGUAACACAAGAAAGAUCCAUACGUUGGUAUAGUCGACGUGGUUCCUCGAGGUACGUGCCGCCAUGAUGAAGGGUGUUUUGGAUAAUAUUUGUUACACGAUCGAUGGUCCUGACACGUCUAAGUACCUUCUCGAAACACGUUUUUUAAUCCUCUUUCUCUUUGUAUUCUCUGUAAAGUCGUUCAAAUGAAUACCUCCGUUUUUUAUUAAUAUGAAUAGUGAUAUUACGCUCAACAUUAUUUGCUCUUUUUCUGCACACC
Molecule: ribosomal RNA, 3310 nt
Filed under: Triticum aestivum (bread wheat)
Lineage: Eukaryota; Viridiplantae; Streptophyta; Magnoliopsida; Poales; Poaceae
Description: partial small subunit ribosomal RNA
Source: RNAcentral